RNAcentral lists this ribosomal RNA (1372 nucleotides) under uncultured bacterium. Its description in RNAcentral is "bacterial SSU rRNA". It matches the Rfam family "Bacterial small subunit ribosomal RNA", at positions 28 to 1381 of the family's 1533-position model. The record is from RNAcentral.
GAUGAACGCUGGCGGCGUGCCUAAUACAUGCAAGUCGAGCGAACGGACGAGAAGCUUGCUUCUCUGAUGUUAGCGGCGGACGGGUGAGUAACACGUGGAUAACCUACCUAUAAGACUGGGAUAACUUCGGGAAACCGGAGCUAAUACCGGAUAAUAUUUUGAACCGCAUGGUUCAAAAGUGAAAGACGGUCUUGCUGUCACUUAUAGAUGGAUCCGCGCUGCAUUAGCUAGUUGGUAAGGUAACGGCUUACCAAGGCAACGAUGCAUAGCCGACCUGAGAGGGUGAUCGGCCACACUGGAACUGAGACACGGUCCAGACUCCUACGGGAGGCAGCAGUAGGGAAUCUUCCGCAAUGGGCGAAAGCCUGACGGAGCAACGCCGCGUGAGUGAUGAAGGUCUUCGGAUCGUAAAACUCUGUUAUUAGGGAAGAACAUAUGUGUAAGUAACUGUGCACAUCUUGACGGUACCUAAUCAGAAAGCCACGGCCAACUACGUGCCAGCAGCCGCGGUAAUACGUAGGUGGCAAGCGUUAUCCGGAAUUAUUGGGCGUAAAGCGCGCGUAGGCGGUUUUUUAAGUCUGAUGUGAAAGCCCACGGCUCAACCGUGGAGGGUCAUUGGAAACUGGAAAACUUGAGUGCAGAAGAGGAAAGUGGAAUUCCAUGUGUAGCGGUGAAAUGCGCAGAGAUAUGGAGGAGCACCAGUGGCGAAGGCGACUUUCUGGUCUGUAACUGACGCUGAUGUGCGAAAGCGUGGGGAUCAAACAGGAUUAGAUACCCUGGUAGUCCACGCCGUAAACGAUGAGUGCUAAGUGUUAGGGGGUUUCCGCCCCUUAGUGCUGCAGCUAACGCAUUAAGCACUCCGCCUGGGGAGUACGACCGCAAGGUUGAAACUCAAAGGAAUUGACGGGGACCCGCACAAGCGGUGGAGCAUGUGGUUUAAUUCGAAGCAACGCGAAGAACCUUACCAAAUCUUGACAUCCUUUGACAACUCUAGAGAUAGAGCCUUCCCCUUCGGGGGACAAAGUGACAGGUGGUGCAUGGUUGUCGUCAGCUCGUGUCGUGAGAUGUUGGGUUAAGUCCCGCAACGAGCGCAACCCUUAAGCUUAGUUGCCAUCAUUAAGUUGGGCACUCUAAGUUGACUGCCGGUGACAAACCGGAGGAAGGUGGGGAUGACGUCAAAUCAUCAUGCCCCUUAUGAUUUGGGCUACACACGUGCUACAAUGGACAAUACAAAGGGCAGCGAAACCGCGAGGUCAAGCAAAUCCCAUAAAGUUGUUCUCAGUUCGGAUUGUAGUCUGCAACUCGACUACAUGAAGCUGGAAUCGCUAGUAAUCGUAGAUCAGCAUGCUACGGUGAAUACGUUCCCGGGUCU